UACGAAGGGGACUAGCGUUGUUCGGAAUUACUGGGCGUAAAGCGCACGUAGGCGGCUUUCUAAGUCGGGGGUGAAAUCCUGGAGCUCAACUCCAGAACUGCCUUCGAUACUGGAAAGCUCGAGUCCGGGAGAGGUGAGUGGAACUGCGAGUGUAGAGGUGAAAUUCGUAGAUAUUCGCAAGAACACCAGUGGCGAAGGCGGCUCACUGGCCCGGUACUGACGCUGAGGUGCGAAAGCGUGGGGAGCAAACAGG
Molecule: ribosomal RNA, 253 nt
Filed under: uncultured bacterium
Lineage: Bacteria
Description: partial 16S ribosomal RNA
Rfam family: Bacterial small subunit ribosomal RNA
Source: RNAcentral